GUUAAGCGACUAAGCGUACACGGUGGAUGCCCUGGCAGUCAGAGGCGAUGAAGGACGUGCUAAUCUGCGAUAAGCGUCGGUAAGGUGAUAUGAACCGUUAUAACCGGCGAUUUCCGAAUGGGGAAACCCAGUGUGAUUCGUCACACUAUCAUUAACUGAAUCCAUAGGUUAAUGAGGCGAACCGGGGGAACUGAAACAUCUAAGUACCCCGAGGAAAAGAAAUCAACCGAGAUUCCCCCAGUAGCGGCGAGCGAACGGGGAGCAGCCCAGAGCCUGAAUCAGUGUGUGUGUUAGUGGAAGCGUCUGGAAAGGCGCGCGAUACAGGGUGACAGCCCCGUACACAAAAAUGCACAUGCUGUGAGCUCGAUGAGUAGGGCGGGACACGUGGUAUCCUGUCUGAAUAUGGGGGGACCAUCCUCCAAGGCUAAAUACUCCUGACUGACCGAUAGUGAACCAGUACCGUGAGGGAAAGGCGAAAAGAACCCCGGCGAGGGGAGUGAAAAAGAACCUGAAACCGUGUACGUACAAGCAGUGGGAGCACGCUUCGGCGUGUGACUGCGUACCUUUUGUAUAAUGGGUCAGCGACUUAUAUUCUGUAGCAAGGUUAACCGAAUAGGGGAGCCGAAGGGAAACCGAGUCUUAACUGGGCGUUAAGUUGCAGGGUAUAGACCCGAAACCCGGUGAUCUAGCCAUGGGCAGGUUGAAGGUUGGGUAACACUAACUGGAGGACCGAACCGAC
RNAcentral lists this ribosomal RNA (739 nucleotides) under Escherichia coli. RNAcentral describes it as "partial 23S ribosomal RNA". It matches the Rfam family "Bacterial large subunit ribosomal RNA", at positions 1 to 783 of the family's 2925-position model. Lineage: Bacteria; Pseudomonadati; Pseudomonadota; Gammaproteobacteria; Enterobacterales; Enterobacteriaceae. The record is from RNAcentral.